AGUGAGGAAUAUUGGGCAAUGGGCGAAAGUCUGACCCAGCCAUGUCGCGUGCAGGAAGACGGUUCUACGAAUUGUAAACUGCUUUUCUAUGGGGAGAAACACAGGGACGUGUCCCUGUCUGCCUGUACCAUAGGAAUAAGCAUCGGCUAACUCCGUGCCAGCAGCCGCGGUAAUACGGAGGAUGCGAGCGUUAUCCGGAUUCAUUGGGUUUAAAGGGUGCGUAGGCGGAUUGGUAAGUCAGGGGUGAAAGUUUGCCGCUCAACGGUAAAAUAGCCUUUGAUACUGUCAAUCUUGAGUGAACGCGAGGUAUGCGGAAUGAGUAGUGUAGCGGUGAAAUGCUUAGAUAUUACUCAGAACACCGAUUGCGAAGGCAGCAUACUAGAGUUCAACUGACGCUGAUGCACGAAAGCGUGGGUAGCGAACAGGAUUAGAUACCCUGGUAGUCCACGCCGUAAACGAUGGUCACUAGCUGUAUGCGAUAUAUUGUAUGUGGCAAAGCGAAAGCAUUAAGUGACCCACCUGGGGAGUACGUUGGCAACGAUGAAACUCAAAGGAAUUGACGGGGGCCCGCACAAGCGGUGGAACAUGUGGUUUAAUUCGAUGAUACGCGAGGAACCUUACCCGGGCUUAAAUGUAGGCUGCAUAGAUCAGAGAUGGUCUUUUCUUCGGACUGCUUACAAGGUGCUGCAUGGUUGUCGUCAGCUCGUGCCGUGAGGUGUCGGGUUAAGUCCCAUAACGAGCGCAACCCCUAUCGUUAGUUGCCAUCAGGUGAAGCUGGGGACUCUAACGAGACUGCCGGUGUAAACCGCGAGGAAGGUGGGGAUGACGUCAAAUCAGCACGGCCCUUACGUCCGGGGCUACACACGUGUUACAAUGGCCGGUACAAAGGGCAGCUACCCCGCGAGGGGAUGCGAAUCUCAAAAACCGGUCACAGUUCGGAUCGGAGUCUGCAACCAGACUCCGUGAAGCUGGAAUCGCUAGUAAUCGCGCAUCAGACGGGGCGCGGUGAAUACGU
RNAcentral lists this ribosomal RNA (1015 nucleotides) under uncultured bacterium. Its description in RNAcentral is "bacterial SSU rRNA". It matches the Rfam family "Bacterial small subunit ribosomal RNA", at positions 353 to 1371 of the family's 1533-position model. The record is from RNAcentral.